Molecule: long non-coding RNA, 754 nt
Organism: Cyprinus carpio (common carp)
Lineage: Eukaryota; Metazoa; Chordata; Actinopteri; Cypriniformes; Cyprinidae
Exons: 5
Source: RefSeq, a predicted model, not a curated record
CAACUUUCUGUAUUUUCAUUACGACCUCAAUGACUGCUAUACCUCGUUAACGGUGUAUGGAGGACAGCAGAAGACAAGCAAGUCUCUCACGCUUUCUCCAAAGACAGUCGAACAUUAUAAGGUUUUCACUCAAUGCCUUUUUACUCCCCCAAGUUACUGACAUGAAGUGCCAUAGCAAAGUCAUGGACCUAUAACAAUAUAGAGAGAAGGUGGGAGGAACUCUACACCGAUGCAUCUGUUUGUGCUUGUUGUGAUUCCACAUGUAAAAUUGAAUAAUCUUGUAUAGAAAAUAUCAGAGACUAUCAGUCGUUCCAGGGUCUCCAAGGUACCUUGAAUAACCUUUUUUGGAGAUGCAUCUGUGGGGUCUCUGCAAACUUUAUGGAUUCAACUGAAUUCAGUGUACAAGUAGUCACAUUUUCUGUAUUUUUAUUGAAUAGUAUACUUUCGUUAAAGUACAGCUAACAUUCACUGUAAUGUCGUCAGAAUAUAAAAACAUUUUUGACUGAUCAUUCUUUUUCUUUUUCUGAUGUCCUCUGACCUCUUUGAUGCCUCUCACUGAAUGACUUAUUCUUAAAGGGAUAAUCUCACAGUUCAUAUUUUACCCAAAAUCAAGAAAUAAAAAUGCAUAAAGAAAAUCUGCAUUAUGAUCUUCUGUUUAAAUGUGUUCAUAAAUCACAGGAAUAAAAUCUCAAGAGAAUUCCCUGACGAGAUUAGACAUGUGAAUGAAUAUAGAGAACAGACACAUUUGAAAAUA